RNAcentral lists this long non-coding RNA (2282 nucleotides) under Durio zibethinus. Its description in RNAcentral is "long non-coding RNA (DZIB_LNC001174)". The record is from RNAcentral. Lineage: Eukaryota; Viridiplantae; Streptophyta; Magnoliopsida; Malvales; Malvaceae.
AUAAUAAAAAUCACAACAUAAAAAAAUCAUAUCAAAGUUUCUUUCCUUUUUUGUUUUCUUCUUUAUUUUUCUUUCUUUUCUUUUUUCAUUAUUAAACCAAAAUUAAAAGAAUAAAUAUAACUCAAAAUAAAAAUUUAUAAAAGAAAAGAAGUUAAAAGAUAAAUAAAAAAAUUAUAAAAAAAACAAAACAAAAAUAAAAUAAAAAAUCUGAAAACUGCAGAUGAAUUGGGUCAGAGGAGCGAAUUAUCGUCGGUCUUUGGCAGACACGUGGGUCGACUUUCACUGGUACGUAAACGGCAUCGUUUGACUUAGUCGUUAAAAAUUAAAAAAAAAUAAAAAACUUCUUUUCUAUAUUCUUCUUCUCUCUCAAAUUUUUUUUCUCUCUAAAUCCUCUGUAAUGUUCAAGCUCCGAGAACAGCCACCGUGUAACCCAGAAAACGAUCAGUCGCCACCACUCUUCCGCCGUCAGUUCAGGUAGCCGUCGUGCGCCGGUUGCGGAGACCCCAAAAAUUCUGCCGAACAUUCCUCUCAGUCUCUCCUUUUUUGGUCCGACCAGAUUCUUAAAAAUCCCCUUAAAAGUCCCUAAAUUUAAGCCCAACAGUCGAUACUGCCACUGUCCAAACCGCCGUUUAUAUAGCCUAGAGCCACCAAAAUUUGCUUCCUUUUCUAUCCAAGUUCUAAUUGAUGACAACCAGAAUCUCUAAAAGCUUUCCCUUACCGUUACCCGAAAAAGAGAAAAACUUUGCCCAAUUUCCGUUUAUUACAAUUUUUGGUUUUCUGUGUGAAUUGUGUUGCGCUCGAUUCCUCUGUUUCUGCUGAGUUUCGUCUGUAUUGAGUUGUGUUUCUGCUUAUUCUAUUUGUUCGGGCUUGGGUUUUGAUUCUGGGUUUGGGUAUGUUUCUGGGUGUUCUGUUUGUGUCUUCUGUGUUCUGCAAUGUAUGACUGCUGGGUCUGUUCGGUUUAUUUCUAGUGAAUUUGUUUCCUGGGUUUUUGGUGGAUUCGGUUCUAGGUAUGGUCUAAUGCUAUCAGGGUUACUGCUUGGCAAAUGGUUAUUGAAGCUGUGUGUGCUGCUGAAUUGCUUGAAUUACUGCAGAAUUGCUUCUUGUCACUUGUCAUUCCCUCUAUGAUUGCCUACCCAAAAAUUUUCAAAAUAUUCCCUAGCGCGAAAAGCUUCCCAAAACAAUUGCUUUGCUGUGCUUGAUUUUUCUGCUUUGUUUGAUCUCCAGAUUGAGCGCUGUUGUGACCUCCUUUUAUGUUAAAUCAAAUCCCAAAGCUCGUAGGAAAGUUUUUUGAAAGAAUCGAAUCUUUCAAGAUCCGGUUCUUGAUUUCUUUGAAUGUUUUAGCAUUAGAUUAAUGCCCAAGUAUUGCCAAAUCCCAGCUUUGUAUGACUCCUUCAAAUCUCUCAAGAAAGUCAUGAAUCAAGCUUUCCAAGCUUCAAUUUCCUGUUUUUCCUUUUUUUUUUUCUUUUUUGACUUUUUAAUAAAAAUAAAAAUGUAUUUGAAAAUUUUUAAAAAUUCACAUCUUAAAUGAAAAUUUUUUUAAGAUACAUACUCAAAAUUUAAGAAUUAAAAAAUUUUAAAAAUUUAUAUCUAAAAUUUAAAAUUUUUAUUAAAAAAUUUAUAUUUAAAUAUUCAUAUAAAAAAUUUUAAAAAUUCACAUUUAAAAUUUAAUGAUUCACAUUUGAAAGGCUAACAUCUAAAAUUCAAAAUUUCACUUUAAAAAUUUCUAAAACAUUAAUUGAAAAGGCUUUUCCCCACGAGACAUUAAUGGAACUUUAAAAAUCUUCUCAAAAAAUUUUCCUUAUCCAUAACUAAAAAUUCUUUUAAAUUAAAAUCAAAAGCUCAUCUUAACAAAAAUUUUCCAAUUUGAGAGCCAAAAUUUUAUCUUGAAAAUUUUUCCUUAAUCAAAUAUUAAAAUCUUAUUUUUGAAAAUUUUUCGUCAAGUAUUAAAAUGUCUUUUUUUUUUUUUUGUAAAUCUCAUAUUUCAACAUAUUUCUUUAAUUCAAAAUUAUCGAGUUCAAAAUUUUUUUCAUGAAAAUUCUUAGAAUUUCAAUUUCAAAAUCAAAAUUUAAAAUUAAAUGCAAUGAAUUCCACAAAGGGCAAUGCAUGAAAUGCAAAAAUCAAUGUUAUGCAUAUCUAAUUAUGAUAAAAGGAUCCUCAAGACUUUUCUUCAUAUAUAUUUUUCUUUUUCAGCUUUCCAUUAUGUUCUUCUUCAACUUCUUUAGAAUUGGCCAUUAAAUUUAUUAAUCAAUUUGUGACCCAAAAUUUAAAGUAAAUUAUCAAAU